RNAcentral lists this ribosomal RNA (1241 nucleotides) under metagenome. RNAcentral describes it as "bacterial LSU rRNA". It matches the Rfam family "Bacterial large subunit ribosomal RNA", at positions 1564 to 2814 of the family's 2925-position model. The record is from RNAcentral.
UGAUGACGAGACGCUAAGGGGUUGAAGCAGUGUAUGUGGGACUUCCAAGAAAAGCUCGCAAUGUCACAACUAAAAAAUGCCUGUACCAUAACCGACACAGGUGGGUAGGUAGAGUAUACUAAGGGGCGCGAGAUAACUCUCUCUAAGGAACUCGGCAAAAUGACUCCGUAACUUCGGGAGAAGGAGUGCCUUAUUUAUAAGGUUGCAAUAACAAGAUCCAAGCAACUGUUUAUCAAAAACACAGGUCUCCGCUAAGUCGUAAGACGAUGUAUGGGGGCUGACGCCUGCCCAGUGCCAGAAGGUUAAAGAAGUUGGUUAGUGUAUGCGAAGCUGAUGACUGAAGCCCUGGUGAACGGCGGCCGUAACAAUAACGGUCCUAAGGUAGCGAAAUUCCUUGUCGGGUAAGUUCCGACCCGCACGAAAGGCGUAAUGAUUUGGAUACUGUCUCGGAGAGAGGCUCGGUGAAAUAGACUUGUCUGUGAAGAUGCGGACUACCUGCACCAGGACAGAAAGACCCUAUGAAGCUUUACUGUAACUUGAAAUUGGAAUUGGACUUUGCUUGCGCAGUAUAGGUGGGAAGCGUUGAAAAUAUUCUUGCGGGAGUAUUGGAGCUAUCAGUGAGAUACCACUCUUAUAAUGUUAGAUUUCUAACUUUGAACCAUAAUCUGGUCAAAGAACAGUUUCAGGUGGGCAGUUUGACUGGGGCGGUCGCCUCCCAAAUGGUAACGGAGGCGUACAAAGGUUUCCUCUGAACGGAUAGAAAUCGUAUCUAGAGUGUAAAGGCAUAAGGAAGCUUGACUGUGAGACCUACAAGUCGAGCAGGGACGAAAGUCGGUCUUAGUGAUCUGAUGGUACUGAGUGGAAAGGCCGUCACUCAACGGAUAAAAGUUACUCUAGGGAUAACAGGCUGAUCUCCCCCAAGAGUUCACAUCGACGGGGAGGUUUGGCACCUCGAUGUCGGCUCAUCGCAUCCUGGGGCGGUAGUACGUCCCAAGGGUUGGGCUGUUCGCCCAUGAAAGCGGUACGCGAGCUGGGUUCAGAACGUCGUGAGACAGUUCGGUCCAUAUCCGGUGUAGGCGCUAGAAUAUUGAGAGGAGCCUUCUUUAGUACGAGAGGACCGAGAAGGACACACCGCUGGUGUACCAGUUAUCGUGCCAACGGUAAACGCUGGGUAGCUAUGUGUGGAGUGGAUAACCGCUGAAAGCAUCUAAGUGGGAAGCCCACCUCGAGAUGAGUAUUCU